Molecule: ribosomal RNA, 289 nt
Filed under: uncultured Truepera sp.
Lineage: Bacteria; Thermotogati; Deinococcota; Deinococci; Trueperales; Trueperaceae
Description: partial 16S ribosomal RNA
Source: RNAcentral
CUACCCGGGUUUCUAAUCCGGUUUGCUCCCCACACUUUCGCGCCUCAGCGUCACGUGUUGUCCAGAAGGCUGCCUUCGCAAUGGGUAUUCCUACCAGUAUCUACGCAUUCCACCGCUACACUGGUAAUUCUACCUUCCUCUCCAACCGUCCAGCUUGCCAGUAUCCAACGCCGUGUCGAGGUUGAGCCUCGGUCUUUAACAUCGGACUUAACAAACCGCCUACGCGCCCUUUACGCCCAGUGAUUCCGGAUAACGCUUGCACCCUCCGUAUUACCGCGGCUGCUGGCAC